This 468-nucleotide ribosomal RNA is filed under the name uncultured bacterium. RNAcentral describes it as "partial 16S ribosomal RNA". It matches the Rfam family "Bacterial small subunit ribosomal RNA", at positions 28 to 507 of the family's 1533-position model. The record is from RNAcentral.
GACGAACGCUGGCGGCGUGCUUAACACAUGCAAGUCGAACGGAAAGGCCCUGCUUUUGUGGGGUGCUCGAGUGGCGAACGGGUGAGUAACACGUGAGUAACCUGCCCUUGACUUUGGGAUAACUUCAGGAAACUGGGGCUAAUACCGGCUAGGAGCUCCUGCUGCAUGGUGGGGGUUGGAAAGUUUCGGCGGAUGGGGAUGGACUCGCGGCUUAUCAGCUUGUUGGUGGGGUAGUGGCUUACCAAGGCUUUGACGGGUAGCCGGCCUGAGAGGGUGACCGGCCACAUUGGGACUGAGAUACGGCCCAGACUCCUACGGGAGGCAGCAGUGGGGAAUAUUGCACAAUGGGCGGAAGCCUGAUGCAGCAACGCCGCGUGCGGGAUGACGGCCUUCGGGUUGUAAACCGCUUUCGCCUGUGACGAAGCGUGAGUGACGGUAAUGGGUAAAGAAGCACCGGCUAACUACGUG